AGUGAACGCUGGCGGUAGGCCUAACACAUGCAAGUCGAACGGCAGCGCAGUAAGAGCUUGCUCUUACGGGUGGCGAGUGGCGGACGGGUGAGGAAUACAUCGGAAUCUACUUUUUCGUGGGGGAUAACGUAGGGAAACUUACGCUAAUACCGCAUACGACCUACGGGUGAAAGCAGGGGAUCUUCGGACCUUGCGCGAUUGAAUGAGCCGAUGUCGGAUUAGCUAGUUGGCGGGGUAAAGGCCCACCAAGGCGACGAUCCGUAGCUGGUCUGAGAGGAUGAUCAGCCACACUGGAACUGAGACACGGUCCAGACUCCUACGGGAGGCAGCAGUGGGGAAUAUUGGACAAUGGGCGCAAGCCUGAUCCAGCCAUACCGCGUGGGUGAAGAAGGCCUUCGGGUCGUAAAGCCCUUUUGUUGGGAAAGAAAAGCAGCAGGUUAAUACCCCGCUGUUCUGACGGUACCCAAAGAAUAAGCACCGGCUAACUUCGUG
This 492-nucleotide ribosomal RNA is filed under the name uncultured bacterium. Its description in RNAcentral is "partial 16S ribosomal RNA". It matches the Rfam family "Bacterial small subunit ribosomal RNA", at positions 29 to 507 of the family's 1533-position model. The record is from RNAcentral.